RNAcentral lists this ribosomal RNA (253 nucleotides) under uncultured bacterium. RNAcentral's name for it is "partial 16S ribosomal RNA". It matches the Rfam family "Bacterial small subunit ribosomal RNA", at positions 524 to 776 of the family's 1533-position model. The record is from RNAcentral.
UACGGAGGGUGCAAGCGUUAUCCGGAUUCACUGGGUUUAAAGGGUGCGUAGGUGGGUUGGUAAGUCAGUGGUGAAAUCUCCGAGCUUAACUUGGAAACUGCCAUUGAUACUAUCAGUCUUGAAUACCGUGGAGGUUAGCGGAAUAUGUCAUGUAGCGGUGAAAUGCUUAGAUAUGACAUAGAACACCAAUUGCGAAGGCAGCUGGCUAGACGAAUAUUGACACUGAGGCACGAAAGCGUGGGGAUCAAACAGG